Molecule: ribosomal RNA, 253 nt
Filed under: uncultured bacterium
Lineage: Bacteria
Description: partial 16S ribosomal RNA
Rfam family: Bacterial small subunit ribosomal RNA
Source: RNAcentral
UACGAAGGGUGCAAGCGUUACUCGGAAUUACUGGGCGUAAAGGGUGCGUAGGUGGUUUGUUAAGUCUGCUGUGAAAUCCCCGGGCUCAACCUGGGAAUGGCAGUGGAUACUGGCAAGCUAGAGUGCGGUAGAGGGUAGUGGAAUUCCCGGUGUAGCAGUGAAAUGCGUAGAGAUCGGGAGGAACACCAGUGGCGAAGGCGGCUACCUGGAUCAGCACUGACACUGAAGCACGAAAGCGUGGGGAGCAAACAGG